Molecule: long non-coding RNA, 583 nt
Organism: Homo sapiens (human)
Lineage: Eukaryota; Metazoa; Chordata; Mammalia; Primates; Hominidae
Exons: 3
Source: RefSeq, a predicted model, not a curated record
GAUAGUGUCAUCCUUAUUUUGUCCUGCUGCUUUGUUUCUCUUCCGGGGGCACCGUUGCUACACAUCCUGGAAUUAAAGGCUGAAAGCAAUGAUAGGCCACUUGAAUUUGGGGUCUUGGUGGAUGGAGACUACCUUCUCAUCCAAAGAUGUGGCCAUCAAGGAGAAGUCUUUCCCAUCGUAAAUAUCCAAGGGCGUGACUGAGCCAUCACUGAACUGGACCCAGCAACUGAUGGCUGCUUCCUAUGGAGAAAAAUAUUUGCUCACUCUGAUGAAGUGAGGUGCAUGCUGUGAGCCAAGCUGUAGAGAUUUCCACCCAGCUAGAAGCUGAGAGUGACCUCUGGCCAGCACCAGUGAGGAACUGAGACUAGCCAGCAACCGCACGAGUGAGCCUGCAUGUAGAUCCUUCCCCACAUGAGCCUUGAGAUGGGACCCCAGCCCCACUGACACUUGGACUGCAGCCUGUAAGAGACCCUGCUCAGAAGACCCAGCUCAGCCAUGCCUGGAUUCCAGAUCCACAGAAACUGUUUGAUAAUACGUGUUGUUCUUUCUCUUUUUGUGACAGGGUCUUGCUCUGUCACCCAGG